GAAUUUACCUGGCAGGGGAGACACCAUGAUCAGAAAGGUGGUUCCCCCACAGCUAGGCCCGCCAUUGCACUCAGGCCAUGGAAUGACCCGUGCUUAUUCCACAAAUGUGGGAAUCUUGACCGCAUAAUUUCUGCCACGUCUACAUUUUUUUGGGCGGCAGUAGCU
Small nuclear RNA from Cheilinus undulatus (humphead wrasse), 165 nucleotides. RefSeq annotates it as U1 spliceosomal RNA. NCBI's taxonomy places the organism in Eukaryota, Metazoa, Chordata, Actinopteri, Labriformes, Labridae. The transcript has a single exon. The record is from RefSeq and is a predicted model, not a curated record.